UGCAAGCCGAGCGGUAUGGAUCUUUCGGGAUCCAGAGAGCGGCGUACGGGUGCGGAACACGUGUGCAACCUGCCUUUAUCAGGGGGAUAGCCUUUCGAAAGGAAGAUUAAUACCCCAUAAUAUUUAGAAUGGCAUCAUUUUAAAUUGAAAACUCCGGUGGAUAGAGAUGGGCACGCGCAAGAUUAGAUAGUUGGUGAGGUAACGGCUCACCAAGUCUGCGAUCUUUAGGGGGCCUGAGAGGGUGAUCCCCCACACUGGUACUGAGACACGGACCAGACUCCUACGGGAGGCAGCAGUGAGGAAUAUUGGACAAUGGGUGCGAGCCUGAUCCAGCCAUCCCGCGUGAAGGACGACGGCCCUAUGGGUUGUAAACUUCUUUUGUAUAGGGAUAAACCUACCCUCGUGAGGGUAGCUGAAGGUACUAUACGAAUAAGCACCGGCUAACUCCGUGCCAGCAGCCGCGGUAAUACGGAGGGUGCAAGCGUUAUCCGGAUUUAUUGGGUUUAAAGGGUCCGUAGGCUGAUGUGUAAGUCAGUGGUGAAAUCUCACAGCUUAACUGUGAAACUGCCAUUGAUACUGCAUGUCUUGAGUGUUGUUGAAGUAGCUGGAAUAAGUAGUGUAGCGGUGAAAUGCAUAGAUAUUACUUAGAACACCCAUUGCGAAGGCAGGUUACUAAGCAACAACUGACGCUGAUGGACGAAAGCGUGGGGAGCGAACAGGAUUAGAUACCCUGGUAGUCCACGCCGUAAACGAUGCUAACUCGUUUUUGGGUUUUCGGAUUCAGAGACUAAGCGAAAGUGAUAAGUUAGCCACCUGGGGAGUACGAACGCAAGUUUGAAACUCAAAGGAAUUGACGGGGGCCCGCACAAGCGGUGGAUUAUGUGGUUUAAUUCGAUGAUACGCGAGGAACCUUACCAAGGCUUAAAUGGGAAAUGACAGGUUUAGAAAUAGACUUUUCUUCGGACAUUUUUCAAGGUGCUGCAUGGUUGUCGUCAGCUCGUGCCGUGAGGUGUUAGGUUAAGUCCUGCAACGAGCGCAACCCCUGUCACUAGUUGCCAUCAUUAAGUUGGGGACUCUAGUGAGACUGCCUACGCAAGUAGAGAGGAAGGUGGGGAUGACGUCAAAUCAUCACGGCCCUUACGCCUUGGGCCACACACGUAAUACAAUGGCCGGUACAGAGGGCAGCUACACAGUGAUGUGAUGCAAAUCUCGAAAGCCGGUCUCAGUUCGGAUUGGAGUCUGCAACUCGACUCUAUGAAGCUGGAAUCGCUAGUAAUCGCGCAUCAGCCAUGGCGCGGUGAAUACGUUCCCGGGCCUUGUACACACCGCCCGUCAAGCCAUGGAAGUCUGGGGUACCUGAAGUCGGUGACCGUAACAGGAGCUGC
This 1385-nucleotide ribosomal RNA is filed under the name Chryseobacterium sp. Its description in RNAcentral is "bacterial SSU rRNA". It matches the Rfam family "Bacterial small subunit ribosomal RNA". Lineage: Bacteria; Pseudomonadati; Bacteroidota; Flavobacteriia; Flavobacteriales; Weeksellaceae. The record is from RNAcentral.